GUGGGGAGCAAACAGGAUUAGAUACCCUGGUAGUCCACGCCGUAAACGAUGAGUGCUAAGUGUUAGAGGGUUUCCGCCCUUUAGUGCUGCAGCUAACGCAUUAAGCACUCCGCCUGGGGAGUACGGUCGCAAGACUGAAACUCAAAGGAAUUGACGGGGGCCCGCACAAGCGGUGGAGCAUGUGGUUUAAUUCGAAGCAACGCGAAGAACCUUACCAGGUCUUGACAUCCUCUGACAACUCUAGAGAUAGAGCGUUCCCCUUCGGGGGACAGAGUGACACGUGGUGCAUGGUUGUCGUCAGCUCGUGUCGUGAGAUGUUGGGUUAAGUCCCGCAACGAGCGCAACCCUUGAUCUUAGUUGCCAGCAUUUAGUUGGGCACUCUAAGGUGACUGCCGGUGACAAACCGGAGGAAGGUGGGGAUGACGUCAAAUCAUCAUGCCCCUUAUGACCUGGGCUACACACGUGCUACAAUGGAUGGUACAAAGGGCUGCAAGACCGCGAGGUCAAGUCAAUCCCAUAAAACCAUUCUCAGUUCGGAUUGUAGGCUGCAACUCGCCUACAUGAAGCUGGAAUCGCUAGUAAUCGCGGAUCAGCACGCCGCGGUGAUACGUUCCCGGG
RNAcentral lists this ribosomal RNA (618 nucleotides) under uncultured bacterium. RNAcentral describes it as "bacterial SSU rRNA". It matches the Rfam family "Bacterial small subunit ribosomal RNA", at positions 761 to 1378 of the family's 1533-position model. The record is from RNAcentral.